UCCUAGCAGUAAACGCUGCGAGCAAGGUGUUGCGCAUCCUACGAGGAUGUGCAGUAUCGAAGAGAAGUCGUUAAGCUCGCCGCCUGGGAAGUACGGUCGCAAGACUGAAACUUUAAGGAAUUGGCGGGGGAGCACCACCAGGGGUGCGGCGUGCGGUUUAAUCUAACUCCACGCAGAGAACCUUACUAGAAGCGACAGCAGGAAGAAGGUCAGUCUGAAGGGCUUACCCGACG
RNAcentral lists this ribosomal RNA (233 nucleotides) under uncultured bacterium. RNAcentral's name for it is "partial 16S ribosomal RNA". It matches the Rfam family "Archaeal small subunit ribosomal RNA", at positions 745 to 977 of the family's 1478-position model. The record is from RNAcentral.